GUGAUAAGUACUUAGGUAUUGCUGUUUCUAUGAUAACUGUUAGUGGUCAGUACUUAGGCAUUGCUGUUCCUACAAUAACUGUUGGUGGUAAGUACUUAGGCAUUGCUGUUCCUAUAAUAACUGUUAGUGGUCAGUACUUAGGCAUUGCUGUUCCUACAAUAACUGUUAGUGGUCAGUACUUAGGCAUUGCUGUUCCUACAAUAACUGUUAGUGGUCAUGCCACCAUAACUCUAUGCUAUAAAGCUUCAGGAAGAAGUGGUUUUCUAGGGAAUUUUUAAAACUUGCCAGGUGUUAUAAUGAAAGGCUUUGAAAGUGAGCAGCAUAGAAAAUAAAGGGACUGGAGUUGCCUGAACAGAGCUGCAGUUGCAGUAGCAGUGAGCUGCCUCAGCUAGGCGCGGCCACAACCACCCUGGCAGAUACAUCUUUCUGGGCAACUGGCUCUCAUUUCUCCACAGUCAGGUUCUCAAAAUCGGGUGCCAAAAAUUCUUACGCAGCGACUGCAGUAGCUCAGGUAAGGAAGGUGACAUACGAAUGCUGGGGGUGGGGGUGGGGAGUUCCCAUGUCACCACCUCUCCCAGAUCAAUUCCACAGAUCAAGUUGACAAGGCUGGCACCAACUGUAAUAAUUUGGGGAGCUUCCUAGAAUUACAGCCGCUGUCCCAGCAGUUACGGCAGCUGCAUGACCCAGGAUGAGCCAUAUCUAUAAAAAGACAAGUCAGACAGCCACUGCCAGGUGGCACCGAACGGCAAAUCCAAGCCAGGACAACUGUGGAUGGCACAAUCGAACCCAUGGAGCCCCAACGACCAGAUACACAGACGUGCCCAGAUUGUUCCUUAAUCUCACAAUAACGAAAAACGGGCACUUUAAGUGUUUAAGUUUUCUGGACCCCACCUAUCCUGUAGUGAGAGCUUACCUUUUAUAAUAAAAAGUAAUGCCUGGAGUACCACAAUAGCACCCCUAUAAAGUAGCAUUUCAUUUACUCGCCAGAGCACGGAAGGUAAACACUGCAAAAGCCCUGGGACUUGCCACAGUGGGGACGUUUCUAGGAGUUCCAUGAGUUCGGAGCUCAGGGGACAACCCCACACCACCCAGGUGUGCUGCUCCUACCCAGGCCUGAGCAGCUCGCAGAACUGUGUGUCCAGGUGGGGCCUGGAGCAAGCCAGCAUCCGCACCAGACCCACACUGGGGCCCGGGCAGCCUGGCCGCGUAACCCUCACAACCCAAGACCCCGUAAAGGAAUUAUAGUACAAAACCCUGGGAUUUUCACUCGAGGUAAAUUACUCUUUUGCUGCCAACGGUUCUCUGCUCGAGAAACAUUUCUCCAGCUGUCCCUAAGGCCUGAGCAGUGGGAAUCAAGCAACUGGACAUCCCAAUCUGCCCAUCACCAACUGGAUGAUUUCUAACAUGGUUUGAACAUUUCAUCAGGAAAUACAAAUUCUAUCUGUAAGAGUAACGCCAGAUAGUUCUGGAUGACACAAAUAAACUGAAGGAACGGGUGACUCAGACACCCACGGUGCGGGGUCACACCGUUGGGCCAAGUUUCCCUCACCCCGCAGCUGUGGUUUCCUGCAGGGCAAAGGGACAGGAUCAAAAGUGAGGCCCAGGUCGAUGGACAGGAAGGCACAUGGGCAGACAUGAACCACGCGCAUUAGGGCCCUGCUCAGGGGUGCCCCUGACAUGAAAAGCUGAAUCCUGUUAGACACAGUGCGCCCCGUGACCCACGUAUGUGGGAGGAGAGAAGGCGUGAGUCACAGACGCUGCACCACGGCCGUGGCUGACGGGCUGGCCCAUCAGGAUACAGACGAGACAGACGACGGGGCAAGAAGUCAACGGGAGGUGUGCGGAGGGCCCCCGGGAGUACAUGCAGCCUGAGUGGAUCUGUUGCUUCCAUAUAAAUAUAAAUGCCACCAAGGUGUAGCUCUCAGCCCUGUGUUAAUGGUCAGCUCUCUUUCUAGUCCCCCGAGAUCCCUCCUCCAGCCUUCCCAAAUUUCCAGUCCUCCAGCAUUCCCAAAUUUCCAGUCCUCCAGCAUUCCCAAAUUUCACCCAAGACGGCCACGUGCACAGUGACCAUGUGACACGCGUACAGACCACGCACAGAACGUGUCUGCUGACUAAAUGACUUUCCAUUUAGCCCACGCAGACUGGCGGUCUUCCUCCACAGCGCGCACCGGGCCGCUGACGUUCAUUGUCCAGGUCCCGGUAUGCCUCCGUUCUUCAGGGGGACCAUUCGGCUUCUUGGAACCUAACAUGCUUCUGCCUGGACAAGCUUUCGUGAACUUAGAAAAAGCCAAGGACGCUGUCCAGGAACCAGGGACCUUCCUGGAUGCCUUCUAGUCCUGGAGUGUGUGACAGUACCGGCCACCUGUAUUUUGCAGCCACCAAGUAAAGAUGGCAUAAUCAUCCAUGUCCUAUGGGAAUUAAGGCUUGGAUUACCACACCAGGUUGAAAAGGGAAAGAAAAUCCCUCUGUCAAAAGCCGUAGGCAAAGAGUAAGAGGGCGGGGAGUGCGUGGCAUGAAUGACAGAAGUAGGAGGCUACGGGCAGUCGCACACUCAGGCUGCAGGAAAGAUGACAGGGGCAGGGACGUUAGCCGUUCUGUUGCAGUUCUUUGACAAACUCCCCUUCUCCCCUGUUCUCUGCUACCAGACACGAAGGGCACUCGUGACGGGUAACGCUCCAAUCCUGGUUCUGCUGGGAGUGUGACAAAAUUGGCAUUCCCCGCAGUGACCUGUGGGGCUACCAGGACUUUGCAUUGGCAUUCCCCGCAGUGACAUGUGGGGCUACCAGGACUGGGGAAGAGGGCAGGGUAAGAGGGCAGGCAAACACAGUGUCCUUCCACAAACCUGGACGGCGCAGCCCGUCACCACACUGAGCGCCUCAGGCAGCUGCAGCGCAAUGGCGUCCGUGCAUCUGGACAUGGAAAGGGAGAUGCGCUGCCCUGCGACGUCACGACGGCUAUGAGGCCACUGGGUGAUAGGAAUUUUCAUCUCCAUUACAGUCUUACCGGACCACUGUUGCACUCGAGGUCCACUGCAGCCGGGAAUGCACACGCAGCUCUGUGCCAGGUGGAGCAGAUGCACACUACAGGGAAGGGAAGAACCAACAGGCUGCUGCGCCCACGUGGAUGUGUUUAACUCAACGGAACUUAGUGCUGGAAUUGCUCAGUUGUCUCGCAUGUCAGAUCACAGCCUCACAGGAAAUUCUCCACGUCAGAGGCCUAGAGCAUCUUUACUAAGAAUCAUACGCAGUAUGUAAAAGAAAUUCUUAAAGCUGGUAACAUAAGGGAGGAGAAAGCCCUGUGGUUUUCCUGCCUCCUGGGAGUUCUCUCUGAGACACAGAAGAUGAUUACUGGAGUGAUGGCCUUUGCCAAAUAAAAUCAUCUGGGCUGGGCCUCUUACCAGCUCCGAUGCUAAUACACAUUGCAGGUACCACACUGCAUGCUAGCCAUAGAAUUAUUAAAUUCUGAAAUCAGCUGUUUGCUAUUGUUGAAGACAAAAUAAGAAAGGAUUAACAUGUAAGAAUCUCUAUAAAUUGGUAAAGUAAAAAUAGCUCAGACAAUACACUAUUUUAUAUCUAGAUUGGUAUAUGCAUUUUGGAUAUAAUUCAUCCUACAUGCUAACUUUAAAUUAGUUAUUUUUUUUCCUUCCUAAUGGGGUUGAUAAAUUAGUUAUUUUUAUUUGAAAAUAUAUAGCAUGGGUUUUUGCAUGUGAAGUUUGUUUUCAAGCUUUGUGGCUUUU
Microcebus murinus (gray mouse lemur) is the source of this 3736-nucleotide non-coding RNA. The record is from RefSeq and is a predicted model, not a curated record. NCBI's taxonomy places the organism in Eukaryota, Metazoa, Chordata, Mammalia, Primates, Cheirogaleidae.